CAGCCGCCAGUAUUUCUUCUCUCCCCUCUAUUGCAGGCACCCAAACACCAGAUCCAAGAUCUAGAAUUUUUUGAGAAGAGGUUGGUACAAGUCUCUGUCAGAUCUGGAGUUGAUCUAAGGUUGUUUGAGGUGCGGGUGAGAUCUCCAUCAACAGAUCUAAAAAAAGGCUGCAGCAGGAUAGAUCUACGAGGUCUGUCUCCAUCUAUCUUCUUCCCUAUCUAGAAUACCCUGAUUCAAGAUCUACAAAUUG
This 250-nucleotide long non-coding RNA is filed under the name Elaeis guineensis (African oil palm). Its description in RNAcentral is "long non-coding RNA (EGUI_LNC080985)". The record is from RNAcentral. Lineage: Eukaryota; Viridiplantae; Streptophyta; Magnoliopsida; Arecales; Arecaceae.